This 253-nucleotide ribosomal RNA is filed under the name uncultured bacterium. RNAcentral's name for it is "partial 16S ribosomal RNA". It matches the Rfam family "Bacterial small subunit ribosomal RNA", at positions 524 to 776 of the family's 1533-position model. The record is from RNAcentral.
UACGAAGGGGGCUAGCGUUGUUCGGAAUCACUGGGCGUAAAGCGCACGUAGGCGGACUUUCAAGUCAGAGGUGAAAUCCUGGAGCUCAACUCCAGAACUGCCUUUGAUACUGAGAAUCUUGAGUAUGGGAGAGGUGAGUGGAACUGCGAGUGUAGAGGUGAAAUUCGUAGAUAUUCGCAAGAACACCAGUGGCGAAGGCGGCUCACUGGCCCAUAACUGACGCUGAGGCACGAAAGCGUGGGGAGCAAACAGG